This 224-nucleotide unclassified non-coding RNA is filed under the name plant metagenome. Its description in RNAcentral is "partial contains small subunit ribosomal RNA, internal transcribed spacer 1, and 5.8S ribosomal RNA". The record is from RNAcentral.
UCUCCGUUGGUGAACCAGCGGAGGGAUCAUUACAGGACUCGCAAGACUCCUACGACCCUGUGAACUUAACUAUAAGCACGUUGCUUCGGCGGGUGUCUCGGAGGGGGUUCUCCCUCCCCGAGACGCUAAACCCGCCGGCAGCCUACUAUACUCUGUCUCUUUGCGUUGGCAUCUCGAGUACAAUCAAACAAGUUAAAACUUUCAACAACGGAUCUCUUGGUUCU